Molecule: long non-coding RNA, 604 nt
Organism: Arabidopsis lyrata subsp. lyrata
Lineage: Eukaryota; Viridiplantae; Streptophyta; Magnoliopsida; Brassicales; Brassicaceae
Exons: 2
Source: RefSeq, a predicted model, not a curated record
UUCUGCUAUAAAUGAGGUACACACUACUUUUUUAUAGCGUUUAGUGUUAUAAUAUGUUAUAAGCGGGAAUAAAUUUUUAGUUGCCCGCUUGUUUUAAUUUUUGUGUUGGCAAAAAGCCAAAACACUUAGAAAAAAACAAAAAACUUUCCCCAGCUUUCUUUAUUUCUCUCUAGUGCCGAAGCUUUCUUCUCGAUCGUGCCCAAGCUUUCUUUCUCUUUGCCGUCCGUCGCCGUCGUUAUUCCGCCGCCGUCGUCGUUAUUCCGAUCCACUUUCAUAGAUUUUUGGGUCAGAUUUGGCUAAAAGUAUUACUUAGGGAUUUUUAAUUUUUUUGGUUCACGUUUUCUAAUUCGACUUGUUUCCAUGAGUAAUUGAUUCUACAAAUCCUUUGUCCAAGAAGACUUGAGCUUAAUCGUAAGAUUGUGAAUCCUUUCUCUCCUUGUUGUUCUAUUUUUGUUCGGCCAUGUUUGUUAAGGAGAUUGAAUAUGUUAGUAACUUGAAUGUCUGAUCAAUUGAAUUUUUAUUGUUUAUAACUGGUCGAGGAGCUGUGUUGUGUUUGGUAAUAUGGAGAAGUCAUGGGUUUGCCACACAAUCACUCUAAGCCAUA